UAAUAUGUUGCAAAGAGUUCUAAGGAGUAGAAAUAAAAAAAUAUAUUGUGGAAAAAGAAAGAAAGAAAAAAAGGAAAAAGAAAUAAAAAACUGAGAAAAAGAAAGAAAGAAAUAAAAUACUCCUCAGUUCUAUGAGCUUCACAAAGAUCCCAAGUGCUUUCAAGAUUAAGGAUUACUCCAUACUCAUUAUUCCAACCUUGUGCAAUCCGAUUACGAGGACUUCAUUUGUAUCUCGCGAUCACCCUUUGCCCUUGCAUAUGUCCACUAUCUAAAUUUGUGUGUUCAUUCUC
This 290-nucleotide long non-coding RNA is filed under the name Setaria viridis. RNAcentral describes it as "long non-coding RNA (SVIR_LNC001527)". The record is from RNAcentral. Lineage: Eukaryota; Viridiplantae; Streptophyta; Magnoliopsida; Poales; Poaceae.